GGAAAGUCAGCAUUUUUCUUGGGGACUAGGGGAUCCUAACACUGGUUCCUACCUGAAGGAUUCAGAAACCCCAAUGAAAUCAUUGAAUCUGGUUAACAGGGAGGUUGAGGCUAGGAGGAAAACCGUAUGAACAUGCCCAUCAAAUUCCAAGUCUACUCCUGUCUGAAUCUGGAUACAGGAAGAUGAAGGUGAAUCAGUGUUUUUUUCCACCCUUAAUUCAAUUCAGCUCAGCAGGAUCUGGAUGAAGCAGGAAAUCAGGAAGCAAAGGAACCCAGGAUUUUGUUUUUCACUCUUGUCAGUCAUAUCUGAAAGGCUGACAGUUACCAGGGGCUGUGGCCAGCACUAGGGAGAAUGUGUCAUUACUGGCUAUGUUGGCCAUAGCAACAUGUCUGUCUUGGAACAGAUCCAGCGUGGAUGAACAAACAGAAGAAUGUUUAAGAAGCCUUGUUACUGAAAGAGACCAAAGCAGCUGAAUCCCACAGAGUGAAGAUGAAGGCAGCCUUCGUGAGAGAGCAUUCCCCAGGAUUCCCUUGAAGAAUGUAAGACCAGCUGGAAUGAAACUUGUUGAGGUCCUGAGGGAAGCGUAAAAUCCAACAGUUAUUAUGGAAUGGAUUUUUCUAAAGAAAGAGUGCAUUUGCUUUGAUGACAUCUUUGUAGCAUUCGGUUGCCUUCUAGAAAGCCCACUGAGAAUUGGGGCUCUUCCGGGAAGCACUCCAUUCAUCUGUUGAAAGAAUGGCUUGUUAUGGCACCCCCUCACCUUACAAACUGGAUUUCCCUCCAAAGCCUGUUUGAAAUAUUUUCCCUAAUCUUGGAUGUGUUUCCCCACAAGCACUGCUGUCUCUUUUUCUGUUGCUUGAUAUGGGAUGUCUCCUGCAGAUCCAAACCUACACCUGUAGCAUGCAGCACAGCACCUGUACCGUCGCUCGCCAUAGCCCUUGCCUCAGCCUCUGAAAGUUUUCUUUAUGAAAAUUAAUCCUUCCUGAAGGAUGAUCACAGAUUUGAAGCCAGCCUCAGCAAUUUAGCAAGGUCGUAAGCAAGUGUCUCAAAAA
This is a long non-coding RNA of Marmota monax (woodchuck), 1049 nucleotides long. RefSeq lists it as uncharacterized. The transcript has 6 exons. Lineage: Eukaryota; Metazoa; Chordata; Mammalia; Rodentia; Sciuridae. The record is from RefSeq and is a predicted model, not a curated record.